GGCAGGUGAGGUUCGUUAGCCGUGGUAGGCAAUUCACCUAGGAGAGCAAACUCCGAACAAUAAACCCGGGCAGGUUGGGCUCGUGAGCCGUCAUAGGUAAUACACCUUGGAGAGCAAACUCCAAACAAUAAACCCGGGCAGGUGGAGCUCGUUAGCGAAAGCAAUUCAUCUAGGAGAGCAAACUCCGAUUACAAACCCGGGCAGGUGGAGGUCGUUAGCGAAAGCAGUUCAUCUAGGAGAGCAAACUCCGAUUACAAACCCGGGCAGGUGGAGCUCGUUAGCGAAAGCAGUUCAUCUAGGAGAGCAAACUCCGAUCAAUAAACCCGGGCAGGUGGAGCUCGUUAGCGAAAGCAGUUCAUCUAGGAGAGCAAACUCCGAUCAAUAAACCCGGGCAGGUGGAGCUCGUUAGCGAAAGCAGUUCAUCUAGGAGAGCAAACUCCGAACAAUAAACCCGGGCAGGUUGGGCUCGUGAGCCGUCUUAGGUAAUACACCUAGGAGAGCAAACUCCGAACAAUAAACCCGGGCAGGUGGAGCUCGUCAGCCGUGGUAGGCAGUCUGCCUAGGAGAGCAAACUCCGAACAAUAAACCGGGGCUUGUGGUGCUCGUUAGAUGUCGUAGACAAUCCACGUGAUGGGAACACCAAAGAAAAGGAAAAUAAAAAGGAACACCAGAAAAAGGAAAAUAUAGUAACAAAACAUCAAGAGAAGUAAAUAAAAAACACAGAUCAUCCACCUUCAGGCCCUAACAUCUCCAAAAUUAUGGAUGAGUCUUUUCUGGGGAGAAAGAGGCUCAUCCAGAACAAAGAACAUCAAAAAGGGAUGAUAUAGAAAGGAACACCAAAAAAAUGGGAAAAAGAGAAAAAAACAUCGCAAAAGAAAAGUAACAACAAUAACAGAACAACGUCAAGAAAAGUAACAUACAAAGAAACAUCAUCCACCAUUCGGCCCCAAACUAACAUCUCCAAAAUUAUGGAUGGGUCUUUUCUGGGGAGAAAGAGGCUCAUCCAGACCAAAGAACAUCAAAGAGGGAUGAUAUAGAAAAGAACACCAAAAAAUAGGGGAAAAAAGAGCAAAAAAACAUCGCAAAAGAAAAGUAACAGCAAUAACAGAACAACAUCAAGAAAAGUAACAUACAAAGAAACAUCAUCCACCAUUCGGCCCCAAACUAACAUCACCAAAAUUAUGGGUGGGUCUCUUCUGGGAGGAAAGCGGCUCACCCAGACCAACGAAGAACAUCAACAAGAGGAUGAUAUGAAAUAAAAGAACAUUAAAAA
Eriocheir sinensis (Chinese mitten crab) is the source of this 1273-nucleotide long non-coding RNA. RefSeq lists it as uncharacterized. The record is from RefSeq and is a predicted model, not a curated record. The transcript has 4 exons. NCBI's taxonomy places the organism in Eukaryota, Metazoa, Arthropoda, Malacostraca, Decapoda, Varunidae.